UUUGAAUUUGGGUUCGAGUAACGAUCAUCGGAUAAGUGAUUUAACUGUUUAUGUUUUAUUUUUUAUUGUGUUAACCAUAAAUUGAAUACAGCUACAAUCUAUAUUCAUCUUUUGGAGUAUUGCCAAUGCAAUUACAUUUCUGCUUUCAAAGUUUGGUUAACUAGAUUUGAACUGUUACUUGGAGAGUAAUUGAAAAGCAAACAAGAUUGAAUUGUGUAAAUGAGACAAGAAUUGGCCCGAGGCUUGACCAUGAUUUGAAUAACAUGGUUUGAAAGGCAAUCUAGGAAGAAAAAAGUUGUAACAUGAAUGCUAUCAAUUGAAAGGGGAAAAAAGGAGAAAGAAGAUUUUAUACCUGAUGGUUCUACAUAUGGAAAGGAGGAAAAAAGAGCCACACAACUCGAAAAAUAUGCUGCAGGACAAAUGAGAUUGAUGGUGAAGACAAAAAAGAGGAGAUGAAGAAGAAUAAAAAGAACAACAAUAAGAGAAAACAAAAGAUUGACCCUUUUCUAGGAUUCGACCAACAUGUAUGUGGUAUCAGGUUACUUGAGCAAAUAUCAUGCUCAAGAUGGAGAUGAAAAGAAGAAUAACGUAGCAAGAAAAGGUAUCAGUUCAGUGAGUAACAAUAUUCCUGAACAAAGUAAAGUAAAGCUCCAUUGUUUUCCAUUAUUUUCAUAAUAAUAAUAAUUGGACUCUCAAGUUAACAAUAUAAUGCUCAGCAAAAGACAAACGUAACCAAAGAGAGGAAAAAGAAGUAAAAAUUUGAUAAGAAUUGGCAACGGUGAUGAUGAACCCCAUUACCUGUAGAGAUCAUGGAUCAAGUCGUUUGGACACAACUAAUUUUGAAUUAAUGACUUCAGUGUGUAAGGUCUCUUAUCGUCUUCAACAAAAAGUGGUAACUGUUUAUACAAUCGUUUUCCCUAAUUUGGUUCAAUCAAUUAACCAAUUAAGGAUCAUUUGUCAAUCAUUUACAGCAAUAAAAUGAAUCAAUUGCUGCCUACAUAAAACCAAUACAUUUCAAACAAAUCCAAUCUUCCUGUUGAAAUGCUGUGGAUAUGUUCAUUAAAGUACAUCCUCAGUAAUUAAUAAUGAACCUCUCAUUGUGUAAUCCAAUCAACAAACUUAAUUAAAUAAUUGGUAUAAGGCUUUUUAUGUAGCCAAAGGAUGUUGUAAACUAUUAAUACGUGUUACCUGUUAUGUAUAUAUUUGGAGUUAAAUAUUACAAUUCAACCGUCAAAAACUACA
Molecule: long non-coding RNA, 1242 nt
Organism: Tetranychus urticae (two-spotted spider mite)
Lineage: Eukaryota; Metazoa; Arthropoda; Arachnida; Trombidiformes; Tetranychidae
Source: RefSeq, a predicted model, not a curated record